GAACAUCGAAAUCUUGAUGUUGCCAGAUGCUGUCCUGUCUGAAAUUCUACUUCACGUGGUCCUUGAGGAGGGUGAUUCCGGAUUGUUAAAUCUGUCUUUAGUUUGUUCUAAAUUCAGAAUUCUGGUGGAUACAGACUCAUUUAGGAGGAGGGCACACUUCUGCUGGCUUGACAGUGUAACAAAUUGGAGAGAGAAGACAUGUCAAGAAUAUUAUCAGAUGUACACACUGCAGCCCUGCAAUGACAUUUACAAGAACUG
This is a long non-coding RNA of Rhinichthys klamathensis goyatoka, 258 nucleotides long. RefSeq lists it as uncharacterized. The transcript is spliced from 3 exons. The record is from RefSeq and is a predicted model, not a curated record. NCBI's taxonomy places the organism in Eukaryota, Metazoa, Chordata, Actinopteri, Cypriniformes, Leuciscidae.